Molecule: ribosomal RNA, 357 nt
Filed under: uncultured bacterium
Lineage: Bacteria
Description: bacterial SSU rRNA
Rfam family: Bacterial small subunit ribosomal RNA
Source: RNAcentral
AGAGUUUGAUCCUGGCUCAGGAUGAACGCUAGCUACAGGCUUAACACAUGCAAGUCGAGGGGAAACGACAUCGAAAGCUUGCUUUUGAUGGGCGUCGACCGGCGCACGGGUGAGUAACGCGUAUCCAACCUGCCCACCACUUGGGGAUAACCUUGCGAAAGUAAGACUAAUACCCAAUGACGUCUCUAGAAGACAUCUGAAAAGAGAUUAAAGAUUUAUCGGUGAUGGAUGGGGAUGCGUCUGAUUAGCUUGUUGGGCGGGGUAACGGCCCACCAAGGCUACGAUCAGUAGGGGUUCUGAGAGGAAGGUCCCCCACAUUGGAACUGAGACAACGGUCCAAAACUCGUACGGGAGGCA